CGCCUGUUUAUCAAAAACAUUUCCUAUUUUCCCUUAUAUUAGGUAAGCCCUGCCCAGUGAAUAUUUAACGGCCGCGGUAUCCCUGACCGUGCGAAGGUAGCAUAAUCAUUUGCCUCUUAAUUAGUGGCUAGUAUGAAUGGGUAAACACAGUUAUAGCUUUUUAUAAGUCUGAAACAAAAAUUAGAAUUUCAGUGAAAAUACUGAAAACAACAGAAAGACAAAAAGACCCUAUCGAGCUAUAUUUUAAACCCUUUAUAAUUUGUUGGGGCAACAAAGGACUAAUCCAAACAUCCUUACUAACUUAUCUUUAUAGACGAAAGAAAAAAAGAAAGAAAAGCUACCGUAGGGAUAACAGACUUAUUUUUUCUGAGAGUUCAAAUUGACGAAAAAGAUUAGCACCUCGAUGUUGGCUCAGGAUUACUUGUACGUGCAGCAGUGUACAAAGUAGGUUUGUUCACCCUUUAAUUUCCUACGUGAUCUGAGUUCAGACCGGA
This 494-nucleotide ribosomal RNA is filed under the name Nautiliniella calyptogenicola. Its description in RNAcentral is "partial large subunit ribosomal RNA". It matches the Rfam family "Bacterial large subunit ribosomal RNA", at positions 1797 to 2620 of the family's 2925-position model. Lineage: Eukaryota; Metazoa; Annelida; Polychaeta; Phyllodocida; Chrysopetalidae. The record is from RNAcentral.